AAACACUGUUUAACCACUACUGACCACAUCUCAGGAGAGGUACCAGAGAAACACUAUUUAACCACUACUGACCACAUCUCAGAGAGGUACCAGAGAAACACUGUUUAACCACUACUGACCACAUCUCAGGAGAGGUACCAGAGAAACACUGUUUAACCACUACUGACCACAUCUCAGAGAGGUACCAGAGAAACACUGUUUAACCACUACUGACCACAUCUCAGGAGAGGUACCAGAGAAACA
This is a long non-coding RNA of Oncorhynchus keta (chum salmon), 243 nucleotides long. RefSeq lists it as uncharacterized. Lineage: Eukaryota; Metazoa; Chordata; Actinopteri; Salmoniformes; Salmonidae. The transcript is spliced from 4 exons. The record is from RefSeq and is a predicted model, not a curated record.